GGGGAUUUUGUUGUGCUUGUUGAAAAUAGUGCAAAUUACUACGUGAGUACUUCCAACAGAGUUGUAUGAUGCUCUUGAUGAUGUUGUACUUCUAGCGAGUGACCAGGAUAAAUGGACUCUGUGCACAGCCCCACUACCUUCUGAACUUAAGGCAGCUCCUUUAUUUCCUGUCUUACAUUAUUGGACAAACUGAUCAAUGCAGGUGUGACUGAUCAUUGUGACUACUCAGGCACAUCUGGAUUAAUCAGUUUGUCCAAUAAUGUAGAGAUAAAAGAGCAGCCUUCAAUUCAGGAAGUAGUGGAUUGGUGCAUAGAGCCCAUCAGCCUACAUGUUUAAUGUCAGCGCCAGAUUUGAAGCAGUCAAUGAUGAGUGUUUGUGAGCCAUCUUAGACUGUAUAAACCCCAGAAACCAGCCUCCAGUUCUUAUGAUAUGCUAAUUGGCCCUUUUGCAAACUCUUUAUUGUACUAGCUAUUCUUAAAGGACUUGAGGAAGAUCUGUGAAAUGAGGUAGUCAGAUAAUUAACAAAUCUUUGCUGUACUAUGUGUUGAAACUUUCCUUUGAAAGAACAAAAGCACAGGGAACUAUUGAACUACUGAAUAUUUUUCAUGGAUAAUAGAAGUAAUUGGUAGGAGAUAUGUCAGCAAAAUUAACUGUGGCUUGCAGAUUUCUUCUAAGGAGCGCAAAAAAUAAGACAACCAGAGCAGAAAUCACACCGGAGGUAAAAGAGCAUUCAAAGUUGGAACCGGGUGAUCGGUCUAACAGGCUCCAAUCUGAAGAGGAGCAGGCAGGUAUUCAAACAUAAGGCAGCAAAGCAGGAUCAAAACAAGCAUAGUGGGCCAAAAAUUAAGGAACACAUACUGUAGGCUUGAGAGCUUGGCAAGACAUAAGACAAAUUAGCAGGGGGAAGAGAGGAAUGGCUUUUAUGUAAGGAGUUAUGGAUCAGGAAACAGCUGCAGGUGAAAAUGAUGGGGCGUUAGGUUAGUGUCUGCAGGACCGGUCUUUUAUUUGGUUGGUGUAUAGAUAGUUAAAGAGGACAGAGACUGAAUGUCAAGUAGUCAAAUUUAAUCUUACUGCAAAAUGUCUUCCAAAUAAAUGCUGAUGAAUCUUUUUUUCUGAAUGUUAUCUACAGUUAAGUUUUUUAUUCCACCAGAAAGCACAUCAGCAACAACUCCUAUGAGCCCUGAGCCUUUGUCUGAAUACAUUUCUGAGAAAACUUUUUGUAAAACAUGAUAGUGUCUGCAAAACUGAAUCUAAAUCCUGGCUUGUGUGGCCAGGAUUAGUUAAUGCCAAACAUUGUCAUUUUAAAUUAACUGAAGGGAUUUUAAAUAUGCAUUUACAGACUGAAAAGAAAAAGAUGUUAUUGAAGGUCAUAUGAAUAUCCACAUCUUUCACAAGCCUCAGUGAUUAUGUUAACGGUUAUACUACAGCAAGAGCCGGUGACGCAUGUGUGUAUGUGUUCCUGUUAUAAUACUUCAUGCAGAGGAGCUGCGUUUACUGUACAGCAAAUUGUCAAUGUGCUAUCCAGAGAAAACACAUUAAUUUUCGUGCUGAAUAAACACUGUCAAGGUAAGUGUUUGACAAUCUUAUGGGUGUAUAAGAACUGACUUGUAUGAUGAUUAAUUCCUGUGAGUGAAAGUGACACCAAAACUCACAGCUGUGAAUGACUCUGUGCUGCCACAUGAAAAAAAAAUGAAAUUAUUCCUCGCACUGUCAUAUGGGACAUAGAGAAUGAUAUCCCAUUAAAAAAGAACAGCAGAGGCUUAACACCUGACUCCCAAUCUGUCACUGAAUAAAGCACACACGCCAAGCCACGCUCACCCAGAUACACACCCUCAGCUCUGUGAGAUAGAGCAAUCAUCAAUGUUGCAGCAUGUAAGAUGUGGUUUAUGGCCUCCAAUUCAUUGUAACACGACCUUUUCCCAUUGUUGGACCACGACCAAGUUUGGUAGGCCUCAUCCCUUGGGUCUAAAUAAUAAAAGGAUUCAAAUAUUUUUCAGCCUUUUCUCUACACACAUACUCUUUAUACACAAAUACUCAGAGAGACACUGCAGAUUCACUCCUUGGUCAGUGGGAGAUGGAUUGUAUUGAUUUCAUAAUACAGGCCCUGACAGCUGUAGUUUUAAUUGCUUUGCCAACAUUAAAAAGGAUCUUCUUCAUUGUUGUCCUCUUCACUUAACUGUGUCUGUAUCAAAACCGAAAAGACACAAUAGAUGUCACACAUGCGGGCAAAGUUUUGUGGGGAUGGCUGAAGUAACAGUAACAGAACAAGUACUUCUCAUCAUCACUUGAACAUCAAUGGCAGCUCACAAGUAAAUAAUAGAUUAUAGAAAUCCAUGGUCCUUUUUAGUUCAACAUACUGUACAUGUAAAAGAUAAUGUUAAUUUAUUCAUUCAUGCACUUGUUUGAAAAUUCAAAUUUACAAAUAUGCACUUUUUAGUGAGCCCUUAUUUCCCAUUGUUAUGUACUAUAGGCGCAGUUACUUGGUGUAAUCUUUUUUCAAAGCGCUGACAACAUUGAGGUCUUCCAUGUUAUCAAAAACAGAUGAAAUCUGUAACAAUCUUUCUUUACUUUUUAGAGUUGUGCCACACAAGGCAAAGACAAAGGAACUGUACCAGUUUUAGAGUAAUAAGGGGCAAAGAUAGCUUAGAUAGCUUAGCGAUUAGAUUUCGUUUCGUUUUGUUCCCCGAUUUGGUGCCUUUCCUGCAUGUCAUUCCCUUCUUUCUCCUCCGUUUCGGACUCUAUCCACUAUCCUCCAGCUAUUUUUGGCUUGUUGACAGGUGCUCAAUUGGUAAAGCAUUCGCCUCAACCGUCAGAGGUUCUUCGGCUUCGUUUCCAACCUCAGCCAAGCCCCCACACAGUUCACCAAACAUGGUCCAUGUAUCUGGCAAAUAAAUUAAUAUAAAGCUGUUUUAUUUUGCCUUAAAAUAUACUGAAUGAAAAUAUGUGGUGGACCACAGCCACACAGAAAAAAAAAACAAAAAAAAAACAGGCUGUUCCAUCAAGUGAUGCCAAGCAGAUGUUGCAGCUUGAGAGCUAAAACUGGGAGGAUGAAGACGGUCUUCUUCUUUCCUUAUGUCAUUUGACUGUAAUUUAAACUGUCCUAGUAUACAACACCUUAAAACCUAGUUUACAGACAACAACUCUUCCCCAACCCUGAUACUGCUGUAAGAUAACGUAGUGCGCUAUAUUCACAGGACUGUGUACCUUUCGCAACAAAAAAUGAGCCUUUACCGUACUUCAAUACACUGUCUUGUAUUGAAAUGUUAAAAAUAUUUUACAAAAUUGUAUUUAAUCACACCAGCCCAGUUUGUUAAAGGUCCAUCCGACCUGAUUGUAUCUUUCAAUGCAAAUGCAUAGUUUGCUGUUGACAGUGAGUAAAAACAGCCCUUUCUCUUUUUUCAGUUACCUUGGUUACUUUGCAAAUGUUUUAAACAUUUUGUGUCAACUAUUUUGUGUAGAAAUGUUUUGUAUCAAAACCUGAGGGUCUACAGCUGUGUUCAAAGUGGAUUAAACAGUCAGUAGAAAAGACAUUUUGUAGACCACACCACAGCGUGAACAGGAUGGUAAAAUUCUCCUCACUAAACUCCCUCAGUAAUGUUGAGGACACAGGGAAUGAGAAAAUAACCCUGAAAACAACCAGAGUGCCUACUCGAAUUACAACCAUAAUUCCAGAUCUUCUUGUAUUCAGUGUGAACCAAAGGUUUGUAAAUUCCUGACAGGUGUUAGGUAUGUGCGAGAAAACUUGUACAUGGCCAUGAUAUUCAAUAUUACAUUCCAUAUGCGUGACAUACUUUGAAAAUAGUUUUAUUUCUAAUAUUCUGCACUUUUUACUCACUAUUGCAAUUUCUUAUUUAUUCCCAAUUUCAUUCCUAUUCCUAUCAUUGUUUUAUUAAUAUUGUAUUUUUUCAAGAGCAAAUGUAAUUCUGUAAUGACCAAACCCCCCUUUAACCCUCCUCUGCAUUGUUGUGUGAACAGAAAAAUAAUCAGAAACACCUCAGGUGUGGACAGGAUGUUUUUUUUUCUGUAAACAAAGGAAAAAAAUCUGUUUUUAGAAAUAUCUUUGUGAAAAUAGCCUCGGAGUAAACAAAUAUGUGUUGUUGGAAUGGUUGUCAAGCUGCACAUUACUGGAUGCUUGGCUACACUUCUGUUUGGGUAGCAAUGUCUGCUCAACUUAUUUACAUAUCAGACUGACAGGUAAUAUAUAAACACUCAUUACCCUCAGUCAACAAGUUAGUCCUCUUGCUGUUGUCCAUAUGACUACAUACUUCACAUUACUGUCACUGUGGUUGUGUUUGCCGUGCUGCCCUCUUCCGUCAGCUUGCUUCCUAGUUUGUUAUUGUUAAAUUGUACAUGACAAUCCACACACUGCCUGCUCAGCUGUUGUGACUUUUGUUAGGAAUCAGAACCAAAAUCAGGGCACUCAUUUUGUUGUGUAUUUGUUUUUUCACAAAUCCUCUGCAUUGAGAUCCCUUUGCUUCCUUUGUGUCAGUGCUGUUAUUCACUUUACAUCAGUCAACACGGACUGUGUUUUAAUUUUUAAAAUACAAAUAAUGUGUACAUACUGUACAUCUUAGGGCAAAUCCAAA
Xyrichtys novacula (pearly razorfish) is the source of this 4586-nucleotide non-coding RNA. The record is from the annotation of a GenBank genome assembly. NCBI's taxonomy places the organism in Eukaryota, Metazoa, Chordata, Actinopteri, Labriformes, Labridae.